This is a non-coding RNA of Caerostris darwini, 92 nucleotides long. Lineage: Eukaryota; Metazoa; Arthropoda; Arachnida; Araneae; Araneidae. The record is from the annotation of a GenBank genome assembly.
UCAUCCGGUUCUCGUUUAGAUCACCGAAGUCAAGCAUCAUUGGGCGCGGUCAGUACUUGGGUGGGUGACCACCUGGGAACACCGCGUGCCGU